CGCCAGACUCCUACGGGAGGCAGCAGUGGGGAAUAUUGGGCAAUGGGCGCAAGCCUGACCCAGCAAUGCCGCGUGAAGGAAGAAGGCCUUCGGGUUGUAAACUUCUUUUAUCAGGGACGAAGGAUGUGACGGUACCUGAUGAAUAAGCUCCGGCUAACUACGUGCCAGCAGCCGCGGUAAUACGUAGGGAGCAAGCGUUAUCCGGAUUUAUUGGGUGUAAAGGGCGUGUAGGCGGGAAUGCAAGUCAGAUGUGAAAACUCAGGGCUCAACCCUGAGCCUGCAUUUGAAACUGUAUUUCUCGAGUGCUGGAGAGGCAAUCGGAAUUCCGUGUGUAGCGGUGAAAUGCGUAGAUAUACGGAGGAACACCAGUGGCGAAGGCGGAUUGCUGGACAGUAACUGACGCUGAGGCGCGAAAGCGUGGGGAGCAAACAGGAUUAGAUACCCGCGUAA
This 450-nucleotide ribosomal RNA is filed under the name uncultured bacterium. RNAcentral's name for it is "bacterial SSU rRNA". It matches the Rfam family "Bacterial small subunit ribosomal RNA", at positions 329 to 793 of the family's 1533-position model. The record is from RNAcentral.